Long non-coding RNA from Triticum dicoccoides, 427 nucleotides. RefSeq lists it as uncharacterized. The transcript has 3 exons. NCBI's taxonomy places the organism in Eukaryota, Viridiplantae, Streptophyta, Magnoliopsida, Poales, Poaceae. The record is from RefSeq and is a predicted model, not a curated record.
CUCACGGAGCCUGGCCUCUGCGUUGUGUUCUCCAUCUUGCAACGCAUGAUGAACUACACGGUAGAGUUCAGCCGAGGAAGAAUCAGGGAUAGAGGGACAGAAAAGAUAUAUUUGUCACGGCGCUGGAAGUGUUGCCCCCCUCCUCCCCAAGGGCAAGGUGAAGGAAGGUGCCUGUGUGGUUCUUCUGCAGUUCGCGACGAGGAUUGUUGUGUCCAACCUGCACAAGAAUGCCAAGAAGUCCUUCUCGAAGACGAUUAAGGACAUGUACCUGCACUACAACGAGAGAUCUGGGCUACUUCUUUGUGGCUUCCAAACUUGAAAUGUUUGUUUGGAAGUUAGUUUAGUUUUUUGUUGUGGAUUCACAGCUUCUCACAUGUACCAUCCUCUUAGACCUUUAGAUUUCCAAAGAAACUAAAUGAAGAUAUGG